This 212-nucleotide ribosomal RNA is filed under the name uncultured bacterium. RNAcentral's name for it is "partial 16S ribosomal RNA". It matches the Rfam family "Bacterial small subunit ribosomal RNA", at positions 524 to 736 of the family's 1533-position model. The record is from RNAcentral.
UACGUAGGGUGCGAGCGUUGUCCGGAAUUAUUGGGCGUAAAGGGCUCGUAGGCGGUUUGUCGCGUCGGGAGUGAAAUCCACUGGCUUAACUGGUGGCUUGCUUUCGAUACGGGCAGACUGGAGGUAUGCAGGGGAGAACGGAAUUCCUGGUGUAGCGGUGAAAUGCGCAGAUAUCAGGAGGAACACCGGUGGCGAAGGCGGUCUCUGGGCAU